UUUAAUUUAUUAUAUUAAAAAUAAUUAGGGAAGGAGGCAUUGUAGUCAAUGGUGCUGGUACAUUUUUGAAUGAGCGUGAUAGUGGAAUAAGUUUUGAGGAUUAACAGCUAUUUUUUGGAAAUAAAUAUGAUAUGUUCUCCUAGUAAGAGGUUGACUGCCUAAGAUGAAACUAUUAUCAAAAGGUAAUAAUAAUUUGGAUUCCUUUAUAAGUCCAGGCAUUUCAAAGUCCACUGGGAAUAGAAGUGUUGAAGAGGAGGUGAAUGAUGGUAGCAAAUGGCAAGAUGAUGACGCAGAUAGUAUUUUAACUCAGUUGCAGGUGGAUAUGGAUAAAAAUGAUCUCUUUUUUAAAAUAAUUAUGGAGCUUAAAUUAAUAUAUGGAUCAGUAUCAAAGCAAUUGAAUGACAUAAAAGGAACAUUGAACUCAUUUGGAGGUCUUAUUGAGGAGUAGAGAAAGAUUAGAUAAAGUGGAAAUUGUGUGAAAAUUUGAAUAAAGAAAUAUUGGAAUUGAAGUUAAAAAAUGAGCAUCUGUGUUAUCAAUAUAAUGAGUUGAUGAAUAUGAAUAAUCUUUCAAAUUUAAUUUUGGUUAAUUUUCCAGUGAGUUUUUGGGAUAAUGUGUUAAAUGAAGUUUAUAAAUUAAUUAAUGGAAUUUUGAAGGUUUCUGAAUGCCAGAAGUCUAAUAUUUUAAGAUGUAUGAUAUUGCAGGUUGAGAAAAUUUCUUUAAUUCAAGUGAUUUUUA
RNAcentral lists this long non-coding RNA (736 nucleotides) under Androctonus crassicauda. The record is from RNAcentral. Lineage: Eukaryota; Metazoa; Arthropoda; Arachnida; Scorpiones; Buthidae.